GCCUCGGUGGUGUAAUGGUAGCCUGCGCUACCGGUAUAGAUGAAGCGCGGGUUCGACUCCCGUCUGAGAUC
This is a non-coding RNA of Parelaphostrongylus tenuis, 71 nucleotides long. Lineage: Eukaryota; Metazoa; Nematoda; Chromadorea; Rhabditida; Metastrongylidae. The record is from the annotation of a GenBank genome assembly.